RNAcentral lists this long non-coding RNA (3188 nucleotides) under Nicotiana tabacum (common tobacco). Its description in RNAcentral is "long non-coding RNA (NTAB_LNC013839)". Lineage: Eukaryota; Viridiplantae; Streptophyta; Magnoliopsida; Solanales; Solanaceae. The record is from RNAcentral.
UUAGACCUAGCAAAAAGAAGAUCCCCCCUUCUCUGAAAAAUAGAGAAUAACAGCGCAGCUCCCUCCCAUAUCAGAAAAACCUAGCAUCGCCUCACACACAUAGAGAGAACAACGAAAAAAUGGCACCUCUCUCUCUCUCUCCCUACCUCCCUUCGUGACUCUCACAAACAUCGACAAAAAUAGCUAGAAAGUAAGUGGGAGAUUCAAUAAUCUGAGUUCUAGAAAAAUCAAAAAAAAAAAAAGAAAAAGAAAAGAAAAAGGAAUGAGGUUUUGGAAAAAUGAAAUAAAGGAAGAACAACAAAGCUUUGGUAUCCUACUUCGGAUUUUGGAUUCAAUCAGUUCAAAAUCGAACCGGAAUGGUUUGCUGCUGAUUUCGAGCUCAUUUUCCUAGGUUUCAAAUUUUUCUUCCUCUGUUUUGGGGCUUGUUUGCCGCUGUCGAUUGCUGAAAUUUUUGCUGAGCUUCGAUCGAGUUUGUCUCGAUUUUUGGUAAGUUUAUUCAAAUUUUCUUGUUCAACCAGAUACUCUCCUAUGAAUUCUGGGUUAUAUAUUUGAUGGGAGCACAUUUGUGUUAAAGAAAAGUUCUUUUUUUUUCAAUUAUGAAAAUCAAUGUUAGAUUUCAAUGUUUGCUUACCUUCAGAUAUCGUUUUAUGUUUCAAGUUUAGUAUAUCAUAAUUCAAGUCUAUUUGUGAUAUCUCUGUACUUUGAUAUUUUUUUAUUUUUCUGUCGUUCAAUUGGGAAUUCUCGGUACAAUAGUUUUAUGUGGUUAUUAAUCAGUCUGCAAAAAAAUGAGUACUAUUGAUUGUAUUGGCAUCGUAAAGCUGUUAGGCUAAAAGGAAACAUUUGCUAGCAUUUUAGAUGUUUUCAAAGGUGUUUGGUUUCAUGUUAUUUACUAAGUAGCUGCUACCUGCAAAAAUCAAGUGGAUUAAUACAGAAGGCACUUUUUAGUUGCUAUUGAUGAAGAAUUAAUACCAAAGCUGAUUUACUCUGUAUAAAUUAAAAUUGAAGGAAAAGCUGAGAGCAAAAUUAGACAUGUUUUUAAUUGCCAACCUUAUUUCAUGUAUGUCAUUGCUUUUUGGCUAUGGCAGCACCCAAAGAAAUAGGAUCAGGUAUGGAAUGGAGGUUCAUUGAUUGCAAUAUACAUGAUUAGGAAAAGAUUAAAGUUAUUUUGCCUACUUUGAUUUGUGGGAUGAACGCUCAGGAAUGUUUAUGUUAGACAACAAUUCUAUAGUUAUGCUUAUUAUUAGUAUAUAAAAAAGAAGAUAGAGGAUUAAAGAAAGCAAUAAGAAAAAAAAGCAUUUAGACUACAUGGGAGUAAGAACCUCUUACUUCUACUGGUUUGGGCGACUUUGCACACUAGAAUUGCAUUGAGAGUUGAUAAAGGUGCAUUGAAAUUCUAUUUGAGAAUUAAUUUAGAAAUUGAUUGAAGAGUACCAGUAUCGUUCUUUUUUGCUUUAGAAAUAAAAAUGGCUAUGGUCAUAAAGAUCGUAAAUGUUACCUCACGAAUUAGAUAAGUUAAUAUUGAACUUUUUUUUAUUAGAUAAUUUAAUAUUGCUAUGUUCCUUCGUUAACCUAGUCUUUUAUUGUACUCUUAAUUUUCUCAUUGAGCCUGCUUUAAUGCAAUAUAGAGGUUAGCUUGAUAUGAGCUUAAGGUAACUCAAGAAUAUAUGGAUCGGCCUUUAAUAUUACUAGCUUGACAAUCCUUCCAUAAUAAGUUUACUUCUUCCAUAACUCUUGGCCUCACAUUAAUCUCAAACUUUAAGAAAUAAACAACUUUAAACAUUCGUAGUUUUCUUUAGGCGCGCUAUAACAAACCAUCGUGACUAUGGGUACGGUUCCCGUGACAUAGUUAUGAUGCCUAAUUUUCAAAUGCGAGUGUGCAUUUCAUGUGAUCCAAUUAUAAUAACUUCGAACAUUAAUAAAAUAAAUAUAUCGCGAAUUACGGGUGCAUUUCAUGUAGCGUGGUUUGCAGUGUGCCCCAAAACGGCAAGUGUACGACAAUCGUAACUUGUUCAAGAAAUAAUUCUAUAAAUUCCCAAAGUGGUUAAACAUAAUUAAAAGCGGUUAUAAAGUUAAAAAUGCACAAUGGGUUUAAAACAUGUAAUCAAUUAGAUAAUUAGGCCAAUUUUAAUAGUUUAAGCGACUGUGCUCGAACCACGGAACCCGGAAGUGCUUAACACCCUCUCCCGGGUUAACAGAAUUCCUUAUCUAGAAUUUCUGGUUCGCAGACUUUAAAUCAAGUCAGAUUUCCUCGAAUUGGGAUUCUGAAAAUAAACCGGCAACUUGGGACACCAAAAUAAACUAUUCCAAGUGGCGACUCUGAAAAAAAUAAAAUAAUCCCAUUUCGAAUAAUGUCACUUUAAUUGGAAAAACUCUCUUAUACCCCCUCUCGGGUGGUAAAAAGGAGGUGUGACAAUAUGUGUUCCUAUCACGUUUCAAUGCUGCCUUGCCUUCUGAUGAGAAUUAACAUGUUUGUCUUAUGAUGCUAAGAUGUACAAUUACCCUAAAUUGGACUUCUUAGGUCUCAACCUAUUAGUGUUACUUUCUGUCAAACCAUGCAAAUCUAUUCCUAUCCCUAACUCUCUCAAUAUGUGUUUGUUAUCCGCUACUUGCUAAAUGUUGAAGUUCUAUUGAACAAGUCCUACGACCUGCUUGACUGGCUAUUCUGUUUGAUCAACUUGGCUAUGUCUACUUUAGGAUAUGAGUAUAUCCCCCAACUUCUGUCCAAUCUACUUACCUGCAAUUUAUGCUAUUUUGAGCUCUUCAUUCUUAGCCGGCUGAAAGCCAAGGCUACCUAGGUUUUAUUGUUGGCCUCCCUAGUGUAAGCACUGCUCAAGGUCCAAUGGAGACCCUUGUGAACUCUGACACACUAGGGCUUGGUCUUUAGUCACUCCCUUAAUCUCAAAAUUGUUACUAUUAAUUCUACUUCCCCCUUUUAUGUGUUGUAUACCUGAAUUGACUGAUUUAAAUGGUGCAACACUUGGUGCUAUGGUUGAGUAAAUUGGUUCUGGACUCCUCUAUGAAUCCCUAAGGUGUGUAUUAAAUGUGGCUCUUUGUUGAAGGCCUGGGUAUGCUGUGUAAGAGAUACUAAAGGCCCAGGCAAUGCUGGGUAUUUUUAUUUAGGCUUGUUGUAGGCUUAUUAUCACUAUUAUGUAACAUUUGUACUUUUUACUCAUUAUUGGGACUGUAAU